ACAUCUAAGUACCCCGAGGAAAAGAAAUCAACCGAGAUUCCCCCAGUAGCGGCGAGCGAACGGGGAGGAGCCCAGAGCCUGAAUCAGCAUGUGUGUUAGUGGAAGCGUCUGGAAAGGCGCGCGAUACAGGGUGACAGCCCCGUACACAAAAGCGCAUGUGCUGUGAGCUCGAUGAGUAGGGCGGGACACGUGGUAUCCUGUCUGAAUAUGGGGGGACCAUCCUCCAAGGCUAAAUACUCCUGACUGACCGAUAGUGAACCAGUACCGUGAGGGAAAGGCGAAAAGAACCCCGGCGAGGGGAGUGAAAAAGAACCUGAAACCGUGUACGUACAAGCAGUGGGAGCACCCUUUGGGGUGUGACUGCGUACCUUUUGUAUAAUGGGUCAGCGACUUAUAUUCUGUAGCAAGGUUAACCGUAUAGGGGAGCCGGAGGGAAACCGAGUCUUAAUUGGGCGUUAAGUUGCAGGGUAUAGACCCGAAACCCGGUGAUCUAGCCAUGGGCAGGUUGAAGGUUGGGUAACACUAACUGGAGGACCGAACCGACUAAUGUUGAAAAAUUAGCGGAUGACCUGUGGCUGGGGGUGAAAGGCCAAUCAAACCGGGAGAUAGCUGGUUCUCCCCGAAAGCUAUUUAGGUAGCGCCUCGUGAAUUCAUCUCCGGGGGUAGAGCACUGUUUCGGCUAGGGGGCCAUCCCGGCUUACCAACCCGAUGCAAACUGCGAAUACCGGAGAAUGUUAUCACGGGAGACACACGGCGGGUGCUAACGUCCGUCGUGAAGAGGGAAACAACCCAGACCGCCAGCUAAGGUCCCAAAGUCAUGGUUAAGUGGGAAACGAUGUGGGAAGGCCCAGACAGCCAGGAUGUUGGCUUAGAAGCAGCCAUCAUUUAAAGAAAGCGUAAUAGCUCACUGGUCGAGUCGGCCUGCGCGGAAGAUGUAACGGGGCUAAACCAUGCACCGAAGCUGCGGCAGCGACGCUGAUGCGUUGUUGGGUAGGGGGAGCGUUCUGUAAGCCUGUGAAGGUGUGUCGUGAGGCAUGCUGGAGGUAUCAGAAGUGCGAAUGCUGACAUAAGUAACGAUAAAGCGGGUGAAAAGCCCGCUCGCCGGAAGACCAAGGGUUCCUGUCCAACGUUAAUCGGGGCAGGGUGAGUCGACCCCUAAGGCGAGGCCGAAAGGCGUAGUCGAUGGGAAACGGGUUAAUAUUCCCGUACUUGGUGUUACUGCGAAGGGGGGACGGAGAAGGCUAUGUUGGCCGGGCGACGGUUGUCCCGGUUUAAGCGUGUAGGCUGGUUUUCCAGGCAAAUCCGGAAAAUCAAGGCUGAGGCGUGACGACGAGGCACUACGGUGCUGAAGCAACAAAUGCCCUGCUUCCAGGAAAAGCCUCUAAGCAUCAGGUAACAUCAAAUCGUACCCCAAACCGACACAGGUGGUCAGGUAGAGAAUACCAAGGCGCUUGAGAGAACUCGGGUGAAGGAACUAGGCAAAAUGGUGCCGUAACUUCGGGAGAAGGCACGCUGACACGUAGGUGAAGUGAUUUACUCAUGGAGCUGAAGUCAGUCGAAGAUACCAGCUGGCUGCAACUGUUUAUUAAAAACACAGCACUGUGCAAACACGAAAGUGGACGUAUACGGUGUGACGCCUGCCCGGUGCCGGAAGGUUAAUUGAUGGGGUCAGCGCAAGCGAAGCUCCUGAUCGAAGCCCCGGUAAACGGCGGCCGUAACUAUAACGGUCCUAAGGUAGCGAAAUUCCUUGUCGGGUAAGUUCCGACCUGCACGAAUGGCGUAAUGAUGGCCAGGCUGUCUCCACCCGAGACUCAGUGAAAUUGAACUCGCUGUGAAGAUGCAGUGUACCCGCGGCAAGACGGAAAGACCCCGUGAACCUUUACUAUAGCUUGACACUGAACAUUGAGCCUUGAUGUGUAGGAUAGGUGGGAGGCUUUGAAGUGUGGACGCCAGUCUGCAUGGAGCCGACCUUGAAAUACCACCCUUUAAUGUUUGAUGUUCUAACGUGGACCCGUUACCCGGGUUGCGGACAGUGUCUGGUGGGUAGUUUGACUGGGGCGGUCUCCUCCUAAAGAGUAACGGAGGAGCACGAAGGUUGGCUAAUCCUGGUCGGACAUCAGGAGGUUAGUGCAAUGGCAUAAGCCAGCUUGACUGCGAGCGUGACGGCGCGAGCAGGUGCGAAAGCAGGUCAUAGUGAUCCGGUGGUUCUGAAUGGAAGGGCCAUCGCUCAACGGAUAAAAGGUACUCCGGGGAUAACAGGCUGAUACCGCCCAAGAGUUCAUAUCGACGGCGGUGUUUGGCACCUCGAUGUCGGCUCAUCACAUCCUGGGGCUGAAGUAGGUCCCAAGGGUAUGGCUGUUCGCCAUUUAAAGUGGUACGCGAGCUGGGUUUAGAACGUCGUGAGACAGUUCGGUCCCUAUCUGCCGUGGGCGCUGGAGAACUGAGGGGGGCUGCUCCUAGUACGAGAGGACCGGAGUGGACGCAUCACUGGUGUUCGGGUUGUCAUGCCAAUGGCACUGCCCGGUAGCUAAAUGCGGAAGAGAUAAGUGCUGAAAGCAUCUAAGCACGAAACUUGCCCCGAGAUGAGUUCUCCCUGAGACUUAGAGUCUCCUGAAGGAACGUUGAAGACGACGACGUUGAUAGGCCGGGUGUGUAAGCGCAGCGAUGCGUUGAGCUAACCGGUACUAAUGAACCGUGAGGCUUAACCUU
Molecule: ribosomal RNA, 2709 nt
Filed under: Salmonella enterica subsp. enterica serovar Hadar str. RI_05P066
Lineage: Bacteria; Pseudomonadati; Pseudomonadota; Gammaproteobacteria; Enterobacterales; Enterobacteriaceae
Description: bacterial LSU rRNA
Rfam family: Bacterial large subunit ribosomal RNA
Source: RNAcentral